GGGGAUGUGGUUCAGUGGUAGAGCACUUGCCUGUUAUGCAUGAGUCCAUGAUUUGAUCCUCAGCACCA
RNAcentral lists this transfer RNA (68 nucleotides) under Ictidomys tridecemlineatus (thirteen-lined ground squirrel). Its description in RNAcentral is "Spermophilus tridecemlineatus (thirteen-lined ground squirrel) tRNA". It matches the Rfam family "tRNA". From Rfam's summary of the family: Transfer RNA (tRNA) molecules are approximately 80 nucleotides in length. Their secondary structure includes four short double-helical elements and three loops (D, anti-codon, and T loops). Lineage: Eukaryota; Metazoa; Chordata; Mammalia; Rodentia; Sciuridae. The record is from Rfam by way of RNAcentral.